Pyrus x bretschneideri (Chinese white pear) is the source of this 1343-nucleotide RNA transcript. It is a transcript of the gene named UDP-N-acetylmuramate--L-alanine ligase-like, with no coding region annotated. The record is from RefSeq and is a predicted model, not a curated record. The transcript is spliced from 3 exons. Lineage: Eukaryota; Viridiplantae; Streptophyta; Magnoliopsida; Rosales; Rosaceae.
AAGCCGUUACUUUCCCGGGAAAAUCUGUGUCAGUGUCACACCAAUGGAUUUCCCGGCAAAAUCAACGCCCAAAACCCUCCAUUUUCCGGCCAAUAUCAUCCGGAGAUCGAAGAUCGACUUCUAGAUAUUUAUCAGGGAGAGCUUUGUCCAGUGCAAAAGCAAUCGAAUGUCGAAAUCCGUGCGAUCCUCGAGUAAAAAUAGCCGCGGCAGCAUCUCAAUCUCGGCGGCGUUCUCGAAAGAUAGUUAUCGAUAAUCCGGUGGUUUGAGAAACGAAAAAGGGCUUGAUUCACUUUGUGGGGACUGGAGGUUGCGGAUUGUCUGCGCUGCCCAUGGUUGCCCUGCAACAGGGUUAUGAGGUUAGCGGCUCGGAUAUUGCUUGGAGUAGCUUCAUGGACGGGCUGCAGGAAGCAGGGGCAUUGUUGCACACAGGCCAUUCGGUGGCUAACACACAAGGGAGUGGCGCCUCGAGAUUACCUGGAGCUGCGGUUGUUUCAAAUUCUGUUCCCCAUAACAAUGCUGAGAUUUUGUAUGCAAAGUCCGUCGGAAUUCCCGUGUGAGUACAUCUCUGCUAAUUGGUAUUUGAUUUGAAGCAAUUAGAAGUUCUUUAGGUGUGUAAUGUUAUAACACCGAAAACUUCGACUAGAAACUGUAAAUCUGAAUUCCAAAUUAUUAGUCUAGCAGUUGUGCGAGGUCGAGUUUGUAGAUUGUGUGCAACUGUAUAUAUGACGAUUACGCUCAUCAUCCAACAGAAUUUAGUGCAGUUAUUCAAGCUGCACGCCCGAGGUUCCCUGUCAAGUCUCUUAUGGUCGUAUUCCAGCCUCGUACGUACAGGUAUUCACUCAAGAUGAGAACAAUGCAGAAUCCCUUUAAGCAGUUUCUGGUAUCACUAGCACGAUUCAUAUAAUUGCGCUAGACUGAUUGGUGAUACGCAGUCGUUUAGCAGCACUGAAGGAUGACUUCGCCGAUGUCCCCGUGGUGCAGAUCAUGUCGUAGUCGCAGAUGUUUAUGCUGCUAGAGAAAUAGAUGUCCAGAAUGUAUGUGGAAGGGAGGGAGCCCGCCAUCUGAAUACAUCCCUUCUCUGGUAAUACCAAUGUUUUCAAAUUGUUUAGAACACAAUUGUUUCUGAAUUGCACGCAAAAUAUGACUUUAAAAGAUAAAAAUUCACACGUCAGGAUCAAACGAAAACUCGUUCGUGCUCCAAAUGGUUACCUACGAAGGAUUCUGGUAACCGGAUGAUUUGAAGAUUGUUGAACAUGAGGUUUGGUGGCUUUACAGGGUGAUGUGGUAGAUAUGUUAGUAUCACAAAUAUUGAACAAGCCUCAUCGGGAAAUCGUUGUUUUAAC